Molecule: long non-coding RNA, 646 nt
Filed under: Gallus gallus (chicken)
Lineage: Eukaryota; Metazoa; Chordata; Aves; Galliformes; Phasianidae
Source: RNAcentral
CGGGAAGGAAGGGGAGGGAGAGGCAGCAGCUCCAUAUUAAUGGGUUCCUUAAAGAGCAGCCUGGCACAGGUGGGAAAGUGUCAGUACAUCUAAUUGUUGCUCAUAGGUAAACAGCUCCAGAUCUCUGAUGAACCUUUCUACCCUUUCCUGAAACUCUUCUAUUCCAAGACCAACUUUUUGAGAUGAUAGCACUGAUGUGCAAGCACGCCACAAGUUCUACAAGGCUAUUGUGUCUGGAGCUAAGAUCCAGGUCUCAUCCCAAGGACUACUCAAGAAUCACAGUGGUGGGAAUUAAGCUCAGGGUGUUCCUUAUCCCAUCACAGCUGGAUGAGUUCUAUCUUCCAGCUAUUCCUUUGACGUUCUGUUCCAUAAGUGAAGUUGAAGGGAAGAAAUUCAGUCCCCUCCUUCUGUCUGACUCAUCAUGGUGGAGAAGUUCUGACAUCAGAGUCCAGCCCCCCGGAAACGAAGCGCUGUCGCAGAUGCAGUCUGCCUUUAAAAGAAUGGCUUUGAAAACAAAACAGAAGGAACCAUUUUAUUGUUACACAAAACUUCAGUACACUCACUUAUCAGCUGAGAAGCUCUGGUCUUGGCCUCUUCAGAAGACAGCGGUGAAGGACAUCCAGAGGAGAAAGUCCCUUCUGUGCUG